GGUUUUCAGUGGCUGGUGCUCUGGCUGCUGGCAGAGCUAGUGACAGAGCAGCCCUUGUGUGCUGGCAAAGUGAGAGCGCACAGAGGCGCUUGGCCUGCAACGGGGGGUCACUGCUCCAGCUUGUGCAGGCCAUGGCCUCCUAAAUCUGCCUCUUUGUAAGUAAAGGGAGAGCUUCCCUUGGCUAGAGGAACGGGAAAUAAAAGGCUGUGUUUUUCAGUGUGCGCACAUCCAUGCAAAAGUCAUAAAAAUCACCUGCUUCUUUAAAGACUGUGGGGUGGGGAAGGGUUAAACAGCCGACAGUAAACAUUUGGAAAUGUAGCUGAGCUUCUGGAUGGUGGUAAUCCAGUCACUCAGGCGCCCAAGCUGCUAAUGAUUUGCUUCUAUGGAUGUGUUUAGGCCUCAGGCUGUCAUCGACUCUGGAGGAGACCCUGAAGAUGAAAGGAUUUUGGUGUACAGCAGUGUCAAAGGCUGCUAUUGUAUGGGCACAAGCCUUCAACGUCUGCAGUGCUACCUGCCCGUGUCUGUGCACAUCCUACGCUAAUUACUUAUUGUUUAAGGAGUGCUUUAGGAUAUUUGGGUGAAAGUGCAACUGAAUAGAAAAUGAUUGAAUUACUUUUCAGGUUGGUGUAAUCCUGAUAGAAGCAGGAAAGGGUAACCAUGGCCCACAUCCACUUGGGAUCCUGACCUGCACAGGCACAGAUGGAGAGCUUCUGUGUUCCUCAAGGGGAGCAGGUGGGGCAGAGGGUGAUCUUGCUGCGGCCCGAACAUGUGCCUUUUGUUAGACUAUUGGAGAAGGUGGCUGCUUCACAGAGGUUUAACAUAUUAAAAAAUACAGCCGAUUCUGAUGAAAGUCAUGUUCUUCAUGCCUAACACAGGUUAUUUGGUGUUCUGUGAUGGGAUGGGAUACAGGUGUGCCAUACAGCAGCAAUCCUUUGCUUCAAGCUAAUGAAGGGCCUAAUUACUUUCUUUAGCUAUGACUGAGAAGCUGAUUAGAAGCAGCUGCUGCAACUCUGGCUGCCCUGGUUAGAUGGGGCAGGAGACAGAGGUAUGGGGCUGCCUUGGGAGCUACCAGAGGGAGAAGGCAGGGUGAAGUGCAAGGCAGAGGGGCAAGGUUCCUGCUGCUCACAAGGUAUUUGCAUAUAAAGCAUAGAAAGAAGGUCUGGGGUUUUCUCCCCUGCUAACUGGGGGGUGUGGAGGGGAGGAAAGCUAAAGGUGCAAAGGGCGAGUGAAGUCUAUAGGGGGGGGAUAACCUAUCGUUCUUUGGUAUGUGAAAUUAAUCCUUGUUGGACUGGGAAGGGUGAGCCCUUAAGCUAUGUGGAAGGAAAAAUCUGCAUUUUGUGCCCAAAAUAUGGUAUGAAGAAAUUGUCUGUUUGACACUCUUUUUUGAGAGUCUUUUUUGCAAUUUAAAACUCAUUUGCUGUGGAAACUCUAUAAGCUUUUCUGUAAUCUCUAAUAUGUUUGAUUAGAAAAAUCAUGUAUGUGUAAUGAUGUGAGAAGCUGGCCACGUGUCUGGUUACUCUGGAAAGUAAUUUCCUUCAGCUCUAGUUUACAAACCUACAUCAGCAGAGAAGAAUUUGCAGA
This 1581-nucleotide long non-coding RNA is filed under the name Anas platyrhynchos platyrhynchos (common mallard). RNAcentral describes it as "lncRNA (ENSAPLG00000030978.1)". Lineage: Eukaryota; Metazoa; Chordata; Aves; Anseriformes; Anatidae. The record is from RNAcentral.